Long non-coding RNA from Pangasianodon hypophthalmus (striped catfish), 491 nucleotides. RefSeq lists it as uncharacterized. The transcript is spliced from 3 exons. The record is from RefSeq and is a predicted model, not a curated record. Lineage: Eukaryota; Metazoa; Chordata; Actinopteri; Siluriformes; Pangasiidae.
UCUCAGUAACUGCUCGAGUAGGUUCCAAAGCCGUCCUGCCCUGUGAAUCGAAUAAUGUGUCCAGCCAGACAUGUGGUGUUAAGUGGCGCACCAAAACUAAGGUUGUGUUUGAGCGAUUGGAUAAGGAUAUUUAUGAAGAUGUGGAAUAUAAGGGUCGUGUGGAUGUUCCUGAGGAUGAACUGCUUCAAGGAAACUGUGCCUUAGUGUUGAAGCACAUCAGACUCACUGAUGCAAACGUCUACUACAGCCUCCUUUUGAAGAGAAAGAAAAAGAGAACUCUUGGUGUUUUAAUCAACAGUGUUGAACUCAUAGUCGACGACAAACUAGAAGAGAGGUCAGAUAAAAAAUCCACUUCCUCAGGCAACACCUUACUGAAAGGUCCUUACACAUUAAUUGUGUUCUUGUCACUCCUUUCCUGGUUACUCUUUGACCUUUUCUAAGAGAAAACGUCAGCGCCAGCUCUGACUUCCUCAUAUGGUACCUCAUGAUGA